This 463-nucleotide ribosomal RNA is filed under the name uncultured bacterium. RNAcentral's name for it is "partial 16S ribosomal RNA". It matches the Rfam family "Bacterial small subunit ribosomal RNA", at positions 28 to 507 of the family's 1533-position model. The record is from RNAcentral.
GAUGAACGCUGACAGAAUGCUUAACACAUGCAAGUCUUUGGCGAAGCUGUGCUUGCACAGCCUAGCCAAGGCGGACGGGUGAGUAACGCGUAAGGAACUUGCCCUGCAGUCAGGGAUAACAGACGGAAACGACUGAUAAGACCUGGUAAAGUCAGGCGGACUCAUGUCCAGCCUGAUGAAAAGAGAUGCUGCAGGAGAGCCUUGCGUCCUAUUAGCUUGUUGGUGGGGUAACGGCCCACCAAGGCGAUGAUAGGUAGCCGGCCUGAGAGGGUGGACGGCCACAAGGGGACUGAGAUACGGCCAUGACGCCUACGGGAGGCAGCAGUGGGGAAUAUUGGACAAUGGGGGCAACACUGAUCAAGCAAUUCUGUGUGCACGAUGAAGGUUUUCGGAUUGUAAAGUGCUUUCAGCAGGGAAGAAAAAAAUGACGGUACCUGCAGAAGAAGCGACGGCUAAAUACGUG